GAUGAACGCUGGCGGCGCGCCUAAUACAUGCAAGUCGAGCGAACGGACGAGAAGCUUGCUUCUCUGAUGUUAGCGGCGGACGGGUGAGUAACACGUGGAUAACCUACCUAUAAGACUGGGAUAACUUCGGGAAACCGGAGCUAAUACCGGAUAAUAUUUUGAACCGCAUGGUUCAAAAGUGAAAGACGGUCUUGCUGUCACUUAUAGAUGGAUCCGCGCUGCAUUAGCUAGUUGGUAAGGUAACGGCUUACCAAGGCAACGAUGCAUAGCCGACCUGAGAGGGUGAUCGGCCACACUGGACCUGAGACACGUGCCAGACACCUACGGGAGGCAGCAGUAGGGAAUCUUCCGCAUUGGGCGAAAGCCUGACGAGGCAACGCGGCGUGAGUGAUGAAGGUCUUCGGAUCGUAAAACGCUGUUAUUGGGGAAGAACAUAUGUGUAGGUAACAGUGAAGAUCUGGACGGUACCUAUUCAGAAAGCCACGGCAAACUACGU
RNAcentral lists this ribosomal RNA (496 nucleotides) under uncultured bacterium. RNAcentral's name for it is "partial 16S ribosomal RNA". It matches the Rfam family "Bacterial small subunit ribosomal RNA", at positions 28 to 506 of the family's 1533-position model. The record is from RNAcentral.